CUACGGGAGGCUGCAGUGGGGAAUAUUGCACAAUGGGGGAAACCCUGAUGCAGCAACGCCGCGUGGAGGAUGACACAUUUCGGUGCGUAAACUCCUUUUAUAGGUCAAGAUAAUGACGGUAGCCUAUGAAUAAGCGCCGGCUAACUCCGUGCCAGCAGCCGCGGUAAUACGGAGGGCGCAAGCGUUACUCGGAAUCACUGGGCGUAAAGAGCAUGUAGGCGGGUUAAUAAGUCAGAAGUGAAAUCCAAUAGCUCAACUAUUGAACUGCUUUUGAAACUGUUAACCUAGAGUGUGGGAGAGGUAGAUGGAAUUUCUGGUGUAGGGGUAAAAUCCGUAGAGAUCAGAAGGAAUACCGAUUGCGAAGGCGAUCUACUGGAACAUUACUGACGCUGAGAUGCGAAAGCGUGGGGAGCAAACAGGAUUAGAUACCCGCGUAGUC
Molecule: ribosomal RNA, 439 nt
Filed under: uncultured bacterium
Lineage: Bacteria
Description: partial 16S ribosomal RNA
Rfam family: Bacterial small subunit ribosomal RNA
Source: RNAcentral